UACGGAAGGCAGCAGUGGGGAAUAUUGCACAAUGGGCGCAAGCCUGAUGCAGCCAUGCCGCGUGUAUGAAGAAGGCCUUCGGGUUGUAAAGUACUUUCAGUCGUGAGGAAGGUGUUAAGGUUAAUAACCUUAGCAAUUGACGUUAGCGACAGAAGAAGCACCGGCUAACUCCGUGCCAGCAGCCGCGGUAAUACGGAGGGUGCGAGCGUUAAUCGGAAUUACUGGGCGUAAAGGGCACGCAGGCGGUUAAUUAAGUUGGAUGUGAAAUCCCCGGGCUUAACCUGGGAAUGGCAUUCAAGACUGGUUAGCUAGAGUCUUGUAGAGGGGGUUAGAAUUCCAUGUGUAGCGGUGAAAUGCGUAGAGAUGUGGAGGAAUACCGGUGGCGAAGGCGGCCCCUGGACAAAGGCUGACGCUCAUGUGCGAAAGCGUGGGGAGCAAA
RNAcentral lists this ribosomal RNA (439 nucleotides) under uncultured bacterium. Its description in RNAcentral is "bacterial SSU rRNA". It matches the Rfam family "Bacterial small subunit ribosomal RNA", at positions 340 to 772 of the family's 1533-position model. The record is from RNAcentral.